RNAcentral lists this ribosomal RNA (478 nucleotides) under uncultured bacterium. Its description in RNAcentral is "partial 16S ribosomal RNA". It matches the Rfam family "Bacterial small subunit ribosomal RNA", at positions 28 to 507 of the family's 1533-position model. The record is from RNAcentral.
GAUGAACGCUCGCGGCAGGCCUAACACAUGCAAGUCGAGGGAGAAGCCCUUUCGGGGGCAGAAACCGGCGCACGGGUGCGUAACGCGUAUGCAACCUGCCUUUCACAGGGGGAUAGCCCGAAGAAAUUUGGAUUAAUACCCCAUAAUAUUAUUGGAUGGCAUCAUUUGAUAAUUAAAACUGCGGUGGUGAAAGAUGGGCAUGCGUCCUAUUAGCUAGUUGGAGUGGUAACGGCACCCCAAGGCUACGAUAGGUAGGGGUCCUGAGAGGGAGAUCCCCCACACUGGUACUGAGACAGGGACCAGACUCCUACGGGAGGCAGCAGUGAGGAAUAUUGGUCAAUGGUCGGAAGACUGAACCAGCCAUGCCGCGUGCAGGAAGAAUGCCUUAUGGGUUGUAAACUGCUUUUAGAUGGGAAGAAUAAGGCGUACGUGUACGUUGAUGACGGUACCAUAUGAAUAAGCAUCGGCUAACUCCGUG